AAUAAGUGCAGUUUUACACUAUUCAUAUUCAACGUUUGACCGUCUGUCUUAUUUGAAAAUUUUUUAUGAUUAUUAUUUUUAUUUCUAUUAGAUGAUAAAACAUAAAUAGUACUUUAUGUGUGACUAAAUGUUUUUAAUUUUUUCACAAAUUUUUCAAAUAAGACGGACGGUCAAACGUUGAACGUGAAUAGUGCAAAACUGCACUUAUU
Molecule: non-coding RNA, 209 nt
Organism: Oryza barthii
Lineage: Eukaryota; Viridiplantae; Streptophyta; Magnoliopsida; Poales; Poaceae
Source: Rfam